AACAAAAUAAAUGCCCUGAUGCAGUACUAAGCACUGGUUUUCAUUCUUCUGAUCUUAAUUGGUUGGAUGUGUUAUCAUGUACAUUGUUUUGUAUUGGUAUAAAAGAUGGGCCGCAACAAAUAUUCUGCAUAAUACCACAGAUUUGCUUAAGCCCUGUUGUAGUACCACGCAGUGGGACUGAACUCGGAA
Long non-coding RNA from Octopus sinensis (East Asian common octopus), 189 nucleotides. RefSeq lists it as uncharacterized. The transcript has 4 exons. NCBI's taxonomy places the organism in Eukaryota, Metazoa, Mollusca, Cephalopoda, Octopoda, Octopodidae. The record is from RefSeq and is a predicted model, not a curated record.